GAGCGAUGCUGUUGGGGAGUUACUUUUGUGGUGGAGCAGCAUUGUUGGCUUGUGGUCGCCUUCGAUUACUACACAGGCACAAGCACUGAUUGUUCCUCGGAUUUAAAUGGCUCCGAGGAUAUGGUGGCUACGGCACUGUGCUGCGGCUUUCGCCGCCGACGGUUAUGGUCGGCGAGUCGCUUUCUACAGCUUCUUUUCGUGUCGUCAAACUCUGAUAAGGGGUGGAACCUGACGAGACAACGAACCAGUAGCAACAUUCUAGCUACAGGCAAAGAUCACACGGAGAACAUCACAGGGAGAAGAUUGUCGAUGCAACAAGGAGAGCUGAACGAGCAACGGUGAGAGAGAUACGUACCUGCUGCAUUGCUGGCAAAACCGUUGAGUCUGUGCAUUGGCAAUUACGUUGGGUGCUUUCGAGUGUAUCUCGCAAACUUUGUGCCGCCGGUGGUAAUGCUUGGCUUUGCUCAA
Selaginella moellendorffii is the source of this 468-nucleotide long non-coding RNA. RefSeq lists it as uncharacterized. Lineage: Eukaryota; Viridiplantae; Streptophyta; Lycopodiopsida; Selaginellales; Selaginellaceae. The transcript is spliced from 3 exons. The record is from RefSeq and is a predicted model, not a curated record.